RNAcentral lists this ribosomal RNA (963 nucleotides) under Listeria innocua. RNAcentral's name for it is "partial 23S ribosomal RNA". It matches the Rfam family "Bacterial large subunit ribosomal RNA", at positions 566 to 1528 of the family's 2925-position model. Lineage: Bacteria; Bacillati; Bacillota; Bacilli; Caryophanales; Listeriaceae. The record is from RNAcentral.
ACAAGUAGUUAGAGCCCGUUAAUGGGUGAUAGCGUGCCUUUUGUAGAAUGAACCGGCGAGUUACGAUUUGUUGCAAGGUUAAGCGGAAAAAGCGGAGCCGUAGCGAAAGCGAGUCUGAAUAGGGCGCAUAAGUAACAGGUCGUAGACCCGAAACCAGGUGAUCUACCCAUGUCCAGGAUGAAGGUAAGGUAAUACUUACUGGAGGUCCGAACCCACGCACGUUGAAAAGUGCGGGGAUGAGGUGUGGGUAGCGGAGAAAUUCCAAUCGAACUUGGAGAUAGCUGGUUCUCUCCGAAAUAGCUUUAGGGCUAGCCUCGAGGUAAAGAGUCAUGGAGGUAGAGCACUGUUUGGACUAGGGGCCCUUCUCGGGUUACCGAAUUCAGAUAAACUCCGAAUGCCAUGUACUUAUACUCGGGAGUCAGACUGCGAGUGAUAAGAUCCGUAGUCGAAAGGGAAACAGCCCAGACCACCAGUUAAGGUCCCCAAAUAUAUGUUAAGUGGAAAAGGAUGUGGGGUUGCUUAGACAACCAGGAUGUUGGCUUAGAAGCAGCCACCAUUGAAAGAGUGCGUAAUAGCUCACUGGUCGAGUGACCCCGCGCCGAAAAUGUACCGGGGCUAAACAUAUUACCGAAACUGUGGAUGAACCUCUUCGGAGGUUCGUGGUAGGAGAGCGUUCUAAGGGCGGUGAAGUCAGACCGGAAGGACUGGUGGAGCGCUUAGAAGUGAGAAUGCCGGUAUGAGUAGCGAAAGAAGGGUGAGAAUCCCUUCCACCGAAUAUCUAAGGUUUCCUGAGGAAGGCUCGUCCGCUCAGGGUUAGUCGGGACCUAAGCCGAGGCCGAUAGGCGUAGGCGAUGGACAACAGGUAGAGAUUCCUGUACCAGUGCUAAUUGUUUAACCGAUGGGGUGACACAGAAGGAUAGGGAAUCGCACGAAUGGAAAUGUGCGUCCAAGCAGUGAGUGUGA